CGCCCUUACGGGAGGCAGCAGCAAGGAAUUUGCCGCAAUGGACACAUGUCUGACGGAGCAACGCCGCGUGCAGGACGACGGCCUUCGGGUUGUAAACUGCUUUUGGGUGGGACGAUGAUGACGGUACCACCCGAAUAAGCCCCGGCUAACUCCGUGCCAGCAGCCGCGGUAAGACGGAGGGGGCAAGCGUUGUCCGGACUCACUGGGCGUAAAGCGUGCGUAGGUGGUGCGAUGCGUCGGCGCUGAAACCGGCUUAACCGGGCGACGGGCGACGAUACGAUCGCACUGGAGGCAGGGAGACGUUGGUGGAAUUCCGGGUGUAGUGGUGAAAUGCGUAGAGAUCCCGAGAAUGCCGGUGGCGUAAGGGGCCAACGAGUCCUCACCUGACACUGAGGCACGAAAGCGUGGGGAGCAAACCGGAUUAGAUACCCGGGUAGUCCACGCCGUAAACGAUGUCGGGUAGGUGUGUGAUCGGGGUGACCCAUGGCGUGCCCAAGCUUACGCGGUAAGCCGACCGCUGGGGACUACGAGCGCAAGUUAAAAC
RNAcentral lists this ribosomal RNA (544 nucleotides) under uncultured bacterium. RNAcentral's name for it is "bacterial SSU rRNA". It matches the Rfam family "Bacterial small subunit ribosomal RNA", at positions 334 to 900 of the family's 1533-position model. The record is from RNAcentral.